GAAGAAAUGAGGUUUACUGUAAAGAAUCCGUAGUCGAUUUCAGAGCAUCUGUCAGUGCAGUGAAGUGGGCCACGUAGUCUGGUGGAAACAUUCCGGAAGCCUGCACUUGGGAGGCAGAGGCAGACAGUUCAAAUGUGCUGGGCUGCACUGCAAGAUUUGCAUUAAGAGACAUAAGUUAAGCGGACCAGGUCUCAUAAAGUGUGUCAGUGAGCCUCAGCCUCCACACUAGCCGGCCCUGAGCAGUCUCAGGCUCCCUUUGAGCAAGCAGCAUGUGGGUGGUGCUUUUCCUGACUCCACCCCGCCAGCAGCCCCACUCACCAGUCAGUGCUGAGAGAAGGCAAAAUCUGUUCAGCCACAAAUUGAACCCAGUCUACCCCCUGUCUUCAUGCCAGACGGGAUCCCCACAGGUCAGGGUGGAUGCCCAGUGUCUGCAGUGUGCUGGAAUUCCUCCCCUUCUUGUGUGUCACACUCAUUGCUACCAGGAGCCAGUGUGACCUCUCCAUUCCAGCAGCACCCAGCUGGACCCCUCAGGUCCACCUUAGACUGAGGUGGGGAGCACCUCUCGGGUGUGAAAAUACUUGGCCCCUCAAAGGAUAGUGUUGGCUUUUCCAUGGUCACAACAUCAGGAUUGGGAGCCCUGUGGCUGUCCACUUGAACAUCGUGCUCCUAAACUAGAUAAAGUGAAGGUGUCCUUUAACUUG
This 701-nucleotide long non-coding RNA is filed under the name Rattus norvegicus (Norway rat). RNAcentral describes it as "long non-coding RNA NONRATT007988". The record is from RNAcentral. Lineage: Eukaryota; Metazoa; Chordata; Mammalia; Rodentia; Muridae.